GGUUCUAUAGUGUAGUGGUUAUCACACGGGAUUCUGACUUGUCAAAUUCCCGUAACCCCGGUUCGAACCCGGGUAGGACCU
Molecule: non-coding RNA, 81 nt
Organism: Thelephora ganbajun
Lineage: Eukaryota; Fungi; Basidiomycota; Agaricomycetes; Thelephorales; Thelephoraceae
Source: the annotation of a GenBank genome assembly